GGUCAGUGAUGUCAUGUAAAAGGUCUGAAGCUCAGAUCCCCCUCGUCAGCCAUUUUGGCUCCCAGCAGCCCGGCUCUGUGCUCCCAUCAUGCUCUAGUGCUGCAGCGGUGGUCCCAGGAGCUGCUGACAAACAGGAAGUGACAUCACAGUGCGAGUCCGUACAGAGACCCCACGGGCUCGGUGUGAUGUCAUCCGACAGAACCAAUCGGCAUGGAGCGUGAGGCUGAGGGGGCGGGGCCUGAGUGGUGAUCUCACUCUUCUUCUGAGGCC
Molecule: non-coding RNA, 270 nt
Organism: Pseudoliparis swirei
Lineage: Eukaryota; Metazoa; Chordata; Actinopteri; Perciformes; Liparidae
Product: small Cajal body-specific RNA 6
Exons: 1
Source: RefSeq, a predicted model, not a curated record